This 819-nucleotide ribosomal RNA is filed under the name uncultured Flavobacteriia bacterium. Its description in RNAcentral is "bacterial SSU rRNA". It matches the Rfam family "Bacterial small subunit ribosomal RNA", at positions 70 to 885 of the family's 1533-position model. Lineage: Bacteria; Pseudomonadati; Bacteroidota; Flavobacteriia. The record is from RNAcentral.
CAUCGCAGUGUAGCAAUACAUGGGCGGCGACCGGCAAACGGGUGCGGAACACGUACGCAACCUUCCCAGAACAGGUGAAUAGCCUUUCGAAAGAGAGAUUAAUACACCGUAACUUAAUGAGGUGGCAUCAUCUUAUUAAUAUAGUUCCGACGGUUCUGGAUGGGCGUGCGGCUGAUUAGGUAGUUGGCGGGGUAAUAGCCCACCAAGCCUACGAUCAGUAACUGGUGUGAGAGCACGACCAGUCACACGGGCACUGAGACACGGGCCCGACUCCUACGGGAGGCAGCAGUAAGGAAUAUUGGUCAAUGGACGCAAGUCUGAACCAGCCAUGCCGCGUGGAGGAUGAAGGUCCUCUGGAUUGUAAACUUCUUUUAUCUGGGAAGAAACCGGACUUUUCUAAGGCCGUUGACGGUACCAGGUGAAUAAGCACCGGCUAACUCCGUGCCAGCAGCCGCGGUAAUACGGAGGGUGCAAGCGUUAUCCGGAUUCACUGGGUUUAAAGGGUGCGUAGGUGGGAUGGUAAGUCCGUGGUGAAAUCUCCAAGCUUAACUUGGAAACUGCCGUGGAUACUAUCAUUCUUGAAUCUCGUGGAGGUAAGCGGAAUAUGUCAUGUAGCGGUGAAAUGCUUAGAUAUGACAUAGAACACCGAUAGCGAAGGCAGCUUGCUACACGAGUAUUGACACCGAGGCACGAAAGCGUGGGGAUCAAACAGGAUUAGAUACCCUGGUAGUCCACGCCCUAAACGAUGGAUACUCGACAUACGCGAUACACAGUGUGUGUCUGAGCGAAAGCAUUAAGUAUCCCACCUGGGAAGUACGA